Molecule: long non-coding RNA, 411 nt
Filed under: Crocodylus porosus (Australian saltwater crocodile)
Lineage: Eukaryota; Metazoa; Chordata; Crocodylia; Crocodylidae
Description: lncRNA (ENSCPRG00005005496.1)
Source: RNAcentral
GGAGGCGUGCAAGGUACCAGCCCCAGAUCAGAAAAACAUUAUCGCAGCUGCGAUAAAGAAUGGAGCCAGAUCCCAAACUACAGGACACUUGGCAGCCUCCAUUGAAACCGGGAGAGUGAAGCAGAGGACUGGGUCCACGGUGUUUGCGGUUGUUUUUAUAGGCAAAGGAGGAAUCUGGACCAAUACUUUCAGCAAAUGCAUCAUGCUGUCAUCCAGAUGUGCUCCUCUUCGUAAUCGCAGCCAUUCUGACUUCUUGACUACACUCGCAGUGACUGGAGCUGCCCAGUUCAGCUUCCCCUGCUGGCGAUGCAGAGAUGCAGUGAGGUACAGCUCUGCGGUGCGUUAAGUAUUCAUGUCGGCAACCCUGCAAGACUCCAUGUGCAGGAGGAAGUGGGGAGGAAAUGGAGAGAG